CGGGCCCGAGUUGUAAUUUGUAGAGGAUACUUUUGAUGCGGUGCCUUCCGAGUUCCCUGGAACGGGACGCCAUAGAGGGUGAGAGCCCCGUCUGGUUGGAUGCCAAAUCUCUGUAAAGUUCCUUCGACGAGUCGAGUAGUUUGGGAAUGCUGCUCUAAAUGGGAGGUAUAUGUCUUCUAAAGCUAAAUACCGGCCAGAGACCGAUAGCGCACAAGUAGAGUGAUCGAAAGAUGAAAAGCACUUUGAAAAGAGAGUUAAAAAGUACGUGAAAUUGUUGAAAGGGAAGCGUUUAUGACCAGACUUGGGCUUGGUUAAUCAUCUGGGGUUCUCCCCAGUGCACUUUUCCAGUCCAGGCCAGCAUCAGUUUUCCCCGGGGGAUAAAGGCUUCGGGAAUGUGGCUCUCUUCGGGGAGUGUUAUAGCCCGUUGUGUAAUACCCUGGGGGGGACUGAGGUUCGCGCAUCUGCAAGGAUGCUGGCGUAAUGGUCAUCAACGACCCGUCUUGAAACACGGACCAAGGAGUCGUCUUCGUAUGCGAGUGUUCGGGUGUCAAACCCCUACGCGUAAUGAAAGUGAACGCAGGUGAGAGCUUCGGCGCAUCAUCGACCGAUCCUGAUGUUCUCGGAUGGAUUUGAGUAAGAGCAUACGGGGCCGGACCCGAAAGAAGGUGAACUAUGCCUGUAUAGGGUGAAGCCAGAGGAAACUCUGGUGGAGGCUCGCAGCGGUUCUGACGUGCAAAUCGAUCGUCAAAUAUGGGCAUGGGGGCGAAAGACUAAUCGAACCUUCUAGUAGCUGGUUUCCGCCGAAGUUUCCCUCAGGAUAGCAGUGUUGAACUCAGUUUUAUGAGGUAAAGCGAAUGAUUAGGGACUCGGGGGCGCUAUUUAGCCUUCAUCCAUUCUCAAACUUUAAAUAUGUAAGAAGCUCUUGUUGCUUAAUUGAACGUGAGCAUUCGAAUGUAUCAACACUAGUGGGCCAUUUUUGGUAAGCAGAACUGGCGAUGCGGGAUGAACCGAACGCGAGGUUAAGGUGCCAGAGUAGACGCUCAUCAGACACCACAAAAGGUGUUAGUACAUCUUGACAGCAGGACGGUGGCCAUGGAAGUCGGAAUCCGCUAAGGACUGUGUAACAACUCACCUGCCGAAUGUACUAGCCCUGAAA
This 1156-nucleotide ribosomal RNA is filed under the name Fusarium sp. RNAcentral's name for it is "eukaryotic LSU rRNA". It matches the Rfam family "Eukaryotic large subunit ribosomal RNA", at positions 133 to 1317 of the family's 3401-position model. Lineage: Eukaryota; Fungi; Ascomycota; Sordariomycetes; Hypocreales; Nectriaceae. The record is from RNAcentral.